ACCUGAAAAAGCUCGCGAACCAUCCUUGCUCCUUCACCAACGUAUUUCUGAACAAGCUCGCUUCCAAUAACUCUAAUGAAACAAGCAUCAGUUCUAUUAGCCACUGCUCUAGCUAAAAGUGUUUUCCCAGUUCCAGGAGGACCAUAGCAGAGAACACCUUUAGGAGGAUCAAUUCCAAGCUUCACAAAUUUCUCAGGGUGAAGCAUGGGUAGUUCAACAACCUAUGACAGGUUCAAACAUAUCAGCAUCAGAUAUAUGAAUUUAGACAUGUAGUCAUACACAUCAAACAUGUAAAAAGAAAUUGAAUAUAAAAAGGCAAUUUGCAGCCCCCAAAAAAUGAUAUAAUAUAAACAUAUAAGGAGGGAGCUUUAUAUACUUCUCGCAUCUUUUCAAUCUGCUCCUUACAUCCACCAACGUCAUUAUAUGUCACAUCAGGUUUCUCUUCCACUGUCAUCAUUGUCACACUUGGAUCAAUUUUUGGAGGCAAGGGAAUCUGUAUCUGAUACUUGUUGCGAUCUACGCUGCAAUGAAAAGACAUAUACAGUGAAUACAUUCACCACCAAACCAGUGAAUGCUUAUGGAUAUGAGAACAAAAUUUAUAAAUAAGAAAGGAGAAAAAUGGCAUUGGCCAAAGUUAUGUUUCCACGGGCAUCAAAACCAUCAAGCUGAUUCACAAUUUCAAGCAUUGUACGCUGGACUUCAUUGUCUCCACCCACACCAUCGUCAAAACGUGCACCACCUAUAGCAUCAACUUCAUCAAAGAAUACAAUGCAAGCCUUCUUUGAACGUGCCAUCUGCAGCAGAAAUAUUUUAGCUCAAGUAAAGAUGCAUAGUUCCAGUAUUGAGUAAACAUGCAAAUAAAUAAUGAAUGACAAGAACAUGUAAAUUGUUAACAUGCAGCUUUAACCUGAAAAAGCUCGCGAACCAUCCUUGCUCCUUCACCAACGUAUUUCUGAACAAGCUCGCUUCCAAUAACUCUAAUGAAACAAGCAUCAGUUCUAUUAGCCACUGCUCUAGCUAAAAGUGUUUUCCCAGUUCCAGGAGGACCAUAGCAGAGAACACCUUUAGGAGGAUCAAUUCCAAGCUUCACAAAUUUCUCAGGGUGAAGCAUGGGUAGUUCAACAACCUAUGACAGGUUCAAACAUAUCAGCAUCAGAUAUAUGAAUUUAGACAUGUAGUCAUACACAUCAAACAUGUAAAAAGAAAUUGAAUAUAAAAAGGCAAUUUGCAGCCCCCAAAAAAUGAUAUAAUAUAAACAUAUAAGGAGGGAGCUUUAUAUACUUCUCGCAUCUUUUCAAUCUGCUCCUUACAUCCACCAACGUCAUUAUAUGUCACAUCAGGUUUCUCUUCCACUGUCAUCAUUGUCACACUUGGAUCAAUUUUUGGAGGCAAGGGAAUCUGUAUCUGAUACUUGUUGCGAUCUACGCUGCAAUGAAAAGACAUAUACAGUGAAUACAUUCACCACCAAACCAGUGAAUGCUUAUGGAUAUGAGAACAAAAUUUAUAAAUAAGAAAGGAGAAAAAUGGCAUUGGCCAAAGUGGGGAAGGAAAUAACAUAAAAUGGUAAAACACAUAACCAAAACUCAUAUAGCAUAGUUUAUGGUCUGAUAGAGGCAGUGUGCAGUCAAAUUCUUGAUU
This 1638-nucleotide long non-coding RNA is filed under the name Jatropha curcas. RNAcentral's name for it is "long non-coding RNA (JCUR_LNC000946)". Lineage: Eukaryota; Viridiplantae; Streptophyta; Magnoliopsida; Malpighiales; Euphorbiaceae. The record is from RNAcentral.